Trichinella spiralis is the source of this 152-nucleotide non-coding RNA. Lineage: Eukaryota; Metazoa; Nematoda; Enoplea; Trichinellida; Trichinellidae. The record is from Rfam.
CACUGUUAACGGUGGAUCACUUGGCUCGUACGUCGAUGAAAAACGAGGCGAGACUCGAAAGUUUAUGUGAAUUGCAGCCACGUUGAACAUAGAAAUUUUGAACGCACAUUGCGGUGUUGAGUUGACUCGACGCCGCGUCUGUCUGAGGUUCG